This is a long non-coding RNA of Dreissena polymorpha, 8723 nucleotides long. RefSeq lists it as uncharacterized. The record is from RefSeq and is a predicted model, not a curated record. NCBI's taxonomy places the organism in Eukaryota, Metazoa, Mollusca, Bivalvia, Myida, Dreissenidae. The transcript is spliced from 22 exons.
AGUAUACCAGUGUGCUGUGAGUCCCACAGGAGACAGGCUGUACAUCACCAGCAGGUACCAGGACAAGCUUCUCACCCUGGCCAGGGAUGGCACACUCCUGGCUACAUACUCAGACCCAGCACUACGUGUCCUAUCUGGUCUACAUGUGACCCCUGCAGGCCAGGUGCUGGUCUGUGGAUUGGGGUCCAACACUGUACUACAGGUGGGCUGGGAGGGGCAGAGUAAGCUGGCUAAUCUUGCUACUCAGAAGGAUGGAGUGUGGGGGCCACGGUCAGUCUGCUACAGCAGCACAACAUCCUACAUCAUUGUGGGACAGGACUGGAGCGACAACAUCCUGGUGUUCAGAGUGGAAUAGUGUGUACAUUGGCUGCUGAGUCAGGACAACGAUGCUGAGGAUGUGGUGGACAAGAAUAAACUGAAUACUCAGAAGGAGAGCACUAGCAUUGGUAUCGAGUUGGCCCAGCAUCAGUACCAGUCCAGCAUGCAGGAGAUCCAGUCAAGGACGACCCUUCCCCUCCCCUGACCACUAACUCCUCACUUUUGACCUGCAGCCUCAAAGGAUCAGCAUAGUUGAACAAUUCUGUUCUGCAGGAAAUUCUCAGCACGUCAAGUUUUCACGGGCUGUUCUCAACAACCGCAAUGUCCUGGUCAAGUUUUCCACACUCAAGCCUGAGUAGUUUUGUUAAAUAUAAGCAGUAGAAAUGGUAAAUCUAACAGCCAGUGUGCUUGCUCUGGGACAUCACAAAGAAUAUCACAGAAUACAAAGUUGAAUAAUUCUUGUUCCAUUCAUUAUGGGACCAACAGAAAUUCAGCAAGAAACAGGGCAAAAAAUCAAGGAACAAUUGAAGCGAUUAAUUUAGAAGUGUAGGUUUUCCAAAGUAGAUACUUCUGCUGAUGAUAGUUUUGACAGUAAUAGCGUUAUGGACGUCUCGGUUUGUCCUCUCAGGCGUGUAAACUGUCCAAAGAGAACACGCUUCUGACGCUUUUGCUGACGAAGAAAGGCAGUAAUGACUUGGCUGUGAACACCCAGAGCACAAUACAUCCUUGGGGCAUGCCUCAGACGCAAAUUCCGCUCAAGAUUAUAAACAAGGCGCAAAAUGUGAAUAUGUCUAGCUUUGUUACGAGCACUUCCCACUCCGAGCCCAUAGGCCUCGUAUUGAAUCGAGGCUGAGAAGGCAUUGACAAAUGACAGCAGUUGUGUUGUGUGGUCCAGUAUGCCCAUCGACUCUCAACCCAACGUUAAUCAGAACUCAAACUCGGCCCUUAGCAAUAUCAGCUCAGCUCCUUGAGCCUCAGGACUUGAUGCAAUCCUUGAUUGGUACCCAGCUUAACAACAGGCUCUUUGGUCAGCUGGUCCCAGACGCCCAGAGACACUUCCUGUGCAUCGGGGGUAGUUGGCUCUUGGCGCAGUACCUCGGGACAAAUGCUCAACGAAUCCUUCCCGCAGGGUGCAGCCAGUCUAAACCUGGGGAUUCAAACUUUCCUGCCUAAGGGCCGAGAUUAUCUCAUCCACAAGGAGAGCACCAGCAUUGAUAUUGUGUUGGCCCAACAACAGCACCAGUCUUGCAUGCAUGAGCCCCAGUCCAGGACAACCCUUCCCCUACCCUGAUCCAUAUCUCCUCCCCCAAGACCUUCAGCCUCAAAUUCUUAACACAUCCAGUUUUCUUGCACUGUUCUCAUCAACCGCAAUGUCCACGUCAAGUUAUCCACUGUCGAGCCUGAGUAGUUUUGUUUAGCUUGAGUGUCCGAGUGGGAAGAGUGUUAUAGACACAAGGAGUUAUAUCAGUAGUUAUGGUAAUGCUCAAUCAACAGUCAGUUCUUGCUGUUGGACAUCACUGCGAAUAUCACGAGGAAUAAGAAGUUGAAUAACUUGUUCCAUUCAUUAUGGGACAAACACAAAUUUAGCGAGGAACAGGGCAAAAAAAUCAAGGGACAAUUGAAGUGAUUAAUGCAAAAGUGUAGGCUUUCCAAAGUAGAUACUUGUGCUGUUGAUAGCUAGGACAGUAGUAGCGUUACGGACCGUCUUGGUUUGUCCUCUCAGGCAUCUAAAGGGAACAUGAAGCUUUUGACGCUGUUGCUGAUGAAGAAAGGCAGUAAUGACUUGGCUGUGAACACCCAGAGCACAAUACAUCAAUGGGGCAUGCCUUGGACGCAAAUUGCGCCCAAUAUUGUAAACAAGGUGCAAAAUGUGAACAUGUCUAGCUUUGUUACCAGCACUUGGCACUCCGAGCCUAAAGGGUCUAGUAUUGAAUCAAGGAUAGAGAUGGCUUUGAAAAAUGACAGCAGUUGUGUUCUGUGGUCCAGUACACACUUCGCCUCUCAAUCGAGUUAGUCAGAACUCAAACUCUGGCCUUAUUAAUAUCAGCAAGUCGCUGCUGAGUCAGGACAAGGAUGCUGAGGAUGUGGGGGACAAGGAUAACCUGAAUACACAGAAGGAGAGCCCCGGUUUUGAUAUAGAGUUGGUACGGCAACAGCACCAGUCGGGCCCGCACAAGCCUCAAGUCAAGCACGACCCCUCCCCUGACCCCUAGCUUCUCCCAUUUGACUUCCAGCUUCAAAGGGUCAGCAUCGUUGAACAAAUUCCUCCUAUAAAAAAUUUUGAGCACAAAGAGUUUUCACACAUGGUUCUCAUCAACCACAAUUUUCGUGUCGAGUGAUCCUUACUUGAGCCUGUUUGGUUUGUUAGACCCGAGUGCCAGAGAUGGGACAACCGUUACAGACACAAGGACUUAUUGCAGCAGUUAUGGCAACAUGUACAGUCAGUUCUCAAUGUUGGACUUCACAACUAAUAGCACAAUAAAUACAAAGUUGGAUAACUCGUUCCAUUCUUUUUGGGACAAACAAUACAACGGAAAGUAACAAGAGAAAAUCAAGGAAUAUUUGUAGAGUUUUAGUCGGAAGCGUAUGCUUACCACUGGCAUACUCCUGGACAGUCGUAACUUUACGGACAGUCCCGGUUUGUCCUCACAGGUGUCCAAACUGUCCAAAGAGAACGCACUUUUGAGGCAGUUGCUAACUUAGAAAGGCAGCACCGACUUUGUUGUGAACACUCAAGAGCAUCCAUGGUCAUGCCUCAGGCGGGAAGUUCGACCAACAGCUGAAACAAGAUGCUAAAGGUGAACCCAUCAGGGUUUGUAACUUCCCACUCCAAUCCUAAACAGCCUGGCAUUGAGUCGGCGCUUGAGAAGGCGUUGAAAAAUGACAGCAGUUUUGUUGUGUGGUCCAGUAUGCCCUUUGGCUCUCAACCUGAUGUUAGGUAGAACUCAAACUGGGCCCUUAGCAAUAUCAGCGAGGCUAGAAUGUCAUCUCUUCAUCUUGAGCUUCAGAAAACAUUAUAAGCAAACAAGACAAACAUCAUGAAUGUUUAGGCAAUCCCAAUCCACUUAUACUACAACUCGCUCAGGAAAUUCAGCACGCCACCUUUUAACAUCUUCUCACAAGGCUUUAAAUCAACACUUCCAACAGCUGAGCCUUGAUUUUCCAGUUCCUGCAGGACCCCAUACAAUCACACAUCUUUACACAGCUGAACAACAACAGGCCCUCUGGUCAGUUGGGCUCCCACAUCCAUGGACAAUGCCUUGGUAAAGGCGUCAAGCUCUUGGGUCAGGAAUUUUGGGCAAAGCUCCUACCCCCAGGGUACAGCCAGUCUAACCAUGGGACUCCAAACUUCACUGCUUAGAGGCCAAGACCACCUCAUCUACAAGGGGCCUUUCCCUCACAAGUUCAGGCCCAGAGAACCAUGCUACCCAACUCAAGCUCAGGCACUACAUCUCAACAGGUCCUCAGUCUCUCUUGCAACAACAAAAGCUGAAGUUGAAGUGUGAAAGAGAGAAAGAGUUGACAUGAAAUUGCUGCUUCAGCCUUAAUUGGAACAUCAGCAUCACAAGCAACAACACUUAAAAUUCAGCAAUCAACAGUUCGAUUGACGAAGGCUUUCAAAUGAAAACAUGUCAAUUAACAAAGCACCCUUCCCUGAAAAGCUGGCCAAGCUAAUAAACAAUGUGAAUGCAUCAACGUGACCCUUCAGAGAAACAGGAUUCCAGGCCGAAUGUCAAACUGUCUGGGCUCCAGCAGCAGCCUCAGCCGUGGGGGUCAGGUUCAUGAUGCACCUAUGCUCUCAAUGCUUUCUGAACAUCUUAAUCUCACAGCACCAGUGGAUCAACAUGACCUUCAAGUUGGGGAUGGUUGAGGGUCUCCCAAAACCACCCAGUGCCUUGCGAUGAAAACCUCCAACGGGACUGUGACCUUGCCCUUGGACUCACCUAAUGGUCAGGUUCAAGGUCACAUGGGCUUAGAUAGUCACUGCAGUAAAAAAGUGUAUGGUUUUAAAGUAAAGAAGAUGACUUCACAACAUGACAUCCGAGACUGCAGGGACGAAAUGACAAAGGAAGCCAAGACACAAUACGAAAAUUUCCAGUGGCUUACCUGCUUAAAACCUGGGAAGCAAAGCAAUGAGUAUGUCCCAGGAGCAUUUGCAGUCACAGCAAGUGAACCAGCGGCAGUCAUCGUCUCCAGAUUCUGAGAUCCCCAUGCUGCACAACCCUUAGUCUAUGAAAAUCAUGCAGAGCGAACUUUGGACAUUGACGAAAUCAACCCGGCAAAUCAGAAGGACAGUCUGUUGCUACAGUUAUCAUAUUAACCCCAGUCAUACCAAAGAAGCUCAGAGAUAUAAAUGCUGUUUAAGAUGUGCUAGUCUCCACAUACUCCAUGUCUGGUGUGAACAUGUACAAUUGAAGGUCUCUACAUACUCCAUGUCUGUUGUGAACAUGUACAAUUGAAGGUCUCUACAUACUCCAUGUCUGGUGUGAACAUGUACAAUUGAAUGUCUCUGCAUACCCCAUGUCAGGUGUGAACAUGUACAAUUGAAGGUCUCUACAUACCCCAUGUCUGAUGUGAACAUGUACAAUUGAAGGUCUCUUCAUACCCCAUGUCUGGUGUGAACAUAUACAAUUGAAGGUCUCUACAUACCCCUUGUCUGGUGUGAACAUGUACAACUGAAGAUCUCUACAUACCCCAUGUCUGGUGUGAACAUGUACAAUUGAAGGUCUCUACAUACUCCAUGUCUGGUGUGAACAUGUACAAUUGAAUGUCUCUACAUACUCCAUGUCUGGUGUGAACAUGUACAAUUGAAGGUCUCUACAUACCCCAUGUCUGGUGUGAACAUGUACAAUUGAAGGUCUCUACAUACUCCAUGUCUGGUGUGAACAUGUACAAUUGAAUGUCUCUACAUACCCCAUGUCUGGUGUGAACAUGUACAAUUGAAGGUCUCUACAUACUCCAUGUCUGGUGUGAACAUGUACAAUUGAAGGUCUCUACAUACCCCAUGUCUGGUGUGAACAUGUACAAUUGAAGGUCUCUACAUACUCCAUGUCUGGUGUGAACAUGUACAAUUGAAUACCUCUACAUACUCCAUGUCUGGUGUGAACAUGUACAAUUGAAGGUCUCUACAUACUCCAUGUCUGGUGUGAACAUGUACAAUUGAAGGUCUCUACAUACUCCAUGUCUGGUGUGAACAUGUGCAAUUGAAGGUCUCAUCUUUGAAAUUGGGACAGGUGGAAAAUUGAUGCAUUGAUGCAGACAGAAGUCGCAUAAUGACAAAUCACAACAAAAAGUGGAAAUCCAGACAGUCUUGUAGCCAGCCAUGUUUUUAUGAGACCAUCCAAGUUGUGUUAAAAGAAAACAAUAGUUCAUGUUUUAUUGGAACUAUGAUGCUGAUAGUCAUUUUAUGUAAAAGGCUUUUAUGAACUAUAUUUAAAUACUCAGUAUAAUAAGAUUAAGAUUUCUUGAUAAAAGCAAUAAUGAGCAAUAUCAUUUUAAGAGCAAAAUUAGCAAGUCUAUCCAAUUACAUUGUCUGUAUUAUGAAAUUUUAUUUUGGAAAUAUUAAGGAAAAUAUAUAUAUAUGUCUAUGAAUAUUGAUUUUAACAUUUGUCAAAGCUGUUUAAAUGAUGCUGGUAACUUUGACAAAAUUGAAAGAAAAUGUAUUCUUUUCAUGUAAUGAGACAUGCUUCAGGUUUUUUUUGGCUUAACAUGUAAUAUAGUGGUGGUAGUUACUCACAUUGUUUAGACAGGUGGAUAAUUUUAAUGCUAAGGCUUUGAUACUCUUAAGUGUGCCCAUUGGUGUCCGGUGUUUUUGUCAAGCAUUUUGUUUAUUAUCUUAGUAUUUCAAGACAAUAUUGAUUAAUAUUAGACAAAAUCAUUUAAUCUUCCUUAAAUUGUCUAAUCUGUAUUUACUACCAGUUAUUUAUUAAUUUGCUUGAACAUGAUUUAAGAAUGAUUUUUUUGUUGCUUAAAAUGCUUUAUAUGUUUUAAAACUGAGCAUUUAAAAACGAAAAUAUAGGAUGUGGGAAGUUAUGAUAAUUAAUUUUUAUUUUUGUAAAGUUAAUUAUGCCUUAUAUGUUUGUGUAUAGGCAUUUAGACGACCAGAUUAACCUGACCAAGAAUUCUUGAUCAAUGUGUAUAUCGGUCAGUACAUUUGUCAUUUGUAUAUAGAGCGAUUGCGAAAUGAUUGUAUUGUUAAUGAAAAUUAUGCGUUUAUUGUUGCCAUUUUGAUUUUCGCUGUUAACAUGUAUUUGUACAAACAAUUUUCAUCAGGUACAUCUUUUAGAUGCCAGAUAAUAAAAACAAACAUUGCUUGUGGAGAUGCUCAUUUAAAACUUUCUUAAUGAUACAGAACAACACAUUCUGAAGAGGCAAAUAUCCUUUAGACAAUAGGAACAUCUUGUUACUAGUAUAUGUAAUGCUUUUUAUUAAAUUAAGUCAAGCAACUAUUGAAAGAUUGGUAUAACUUUGUUUUGCAUUAUCUUAAGAAAAAUUAAUAUAUUCUUCUUGGAAAUCAGUCAAUUGCAAAUCAAGCGAGAGUGAUUUAACAUGCUAACACUUGUCAAUAAUUGAAUUGUCUCUCUUUGUACAUAAAUAUAGGGAUGUUGUUGCUUGAAAAACAAAGUUGUAUCCGUUGUUAGAUAAUGCUUUUGUUCAUCUCUCAACAUAACAAGUACAUUCAUUUGUUCAUCUCUCAACAUAACAAGUACAUUCAUACAGUUAUUAAAAAUAUGACACUCUUAAUUCUCAGCCAUCAGUUUGUAUUGGGAUGUUGUGGAAUACUUACUAAACUAAUAUACGUCUGUUUAAUGAAUGAAUAGCUUUGGUACAAUAUGAUACUCAGUGUUACAAAACAUGUGUAAUAAAAAUAUAAUGUCAUUUAUUUGAAAUCAUAAAAUUUAGUUGUCCAUACAAUGCUUACAGUUUUUGCAAUUGCGAUGAUAAAGGAAAUGUUCUGCUCAAAAUGUCUUUUUAAGACAUGCGAAAAUUGUAGCAAUCAUAUUGUACUUGUAUUUAUAUUAUACAUUAUAAGAAUUUACUUACAGCUGAUGAUAGCGGCAGUUUACUAUUUGUGUUACAGUUUGUUCCACUCGACCAUCAGACCAUAUUUCCUUAAAAAUGUGAUUGUUAAUAUUGAACUGUAAUUGAAUGCAUGAAACAUGAUUGUUCUGUUGCGUAACAGCUGAAAAUAGCUUGAUGUUUGUAAAACUGUAUGAAAUGUUUCAAAUAAAUCAUUUUAAUUACAUAAAAAAAUAAAAUUACAUUUUGCGUUACUUUGAAUGCAUAACAAACAAUUGUUACCAUACAAUCAUACGGUAUUAGUAUUGAACUUAAUUAAUACUUUAACUUUAAGAUGCAAUUUUUACAAUAAUGUGUUAAUAUUUUCAUCCAUUCCAAAUAAGCAUUGUGCAUUCGUAAAUAUAGGGUUUACAUACACUGCUUAGAUGCCUUUUUUAAAUUGCUUGUGUACGUUAUAUUGAUAAAAGACUCUUAUGUAUUGCAUAUUUGUGUGUGCCAAUGUCUUACUUAUUUCUUCACAGUCCUUAAAUUACUGCAAAUAGUACUUUAAGAAUGUUAAAAUAUUUAUCUUAACCCUUUCAGUGCGGGAACCUAAUUUUGAAGGCCUUUGCAAACAGUUUGGAUCCAGAUGAGACGCCACAGAACGUGGCGUCUCAUCAGGAUCCAAACUGUUUGCUAUUCUGAUAGUAUUCUUAGAAAAAAAUCGAAGAAAAUGCUAAUUUUAGAAAUUCAGCAGACGACAUUUUAGCAGACGACAAAAUUCCCAGCAUGCAAAGGGUUAACUAUAACCAGGUUAUCUGUUAAUUUAAGUUUCAUACAUAAUAUUUAGUGCUAAUAAAUCAGCACUAUUGAUUGAUUUUUUAUAUGGGCACUUCCCAUGACUUUAUUCGUGAAUAUUUCUUUGAAUGUGCGGUAGGGAAAACAUUGGUUGCUUGAAGGUUAGAAACUUAAUGUUGACAUCUUGAAAGAUGGCAGUAAACAUUUAACUGCAGAGUAGCUGGGAAAAAGAUUGCUGUUAAACAAUGUUAGACAGAACUCCACGCAAGAUAUGUCAUGCAUGCGAUAUGCAUGAACUAUCUUUUUAAAAUAAUUUGGAUCUGAAUUAUCUUUAAGAAAUGGUAUGGUUAUGAGGGUCUCUAUGUGCAAAAUGUUGCAUUUAUUUAGUGUACAAGUUAUUGCUUAAACAUUGAAUUUGUUGUGGAAAUAAUAUAGUUUAUGUGACUUAAAGAGAUAUACAUGUUUAUGUUAGUGAUGUGUUUUUGCUGAUCCAAGUCUGUUCCUACACACUAUUUAAAGUAGAUAACUACAAGUUAUCUCAUUUAAAUGGGAAAAGUAUUGUACUGUGAAAAAGUGUUGUGAGUUCAAAUAAAAAUACUAUGAACCGU